This 253-nucleotide ribosomal RNA is filed under the name uncultured bacterium. RNAcentral describes it as "partial 16S ribosomal RNA". It matches the Rfam family "Bacterial small subunit ribosomal RNA", at positions 524 to 776 of the family's 1533-position model. The record is from RNAcentral.
UACGUAGGGGGCAAGCGUUGUCCGGAAUCAUUGGGCGUAAAGCGCGUGUAGGCGGCCCGAUAAGUCCGCUGUGAAAGUCCAGGGCUCAACCCUGGAAUGCCGGUGGAUACUGUCGGGCUCGAGUCCGGAAGAGGCGAGUGGAAUUCCUGGUGUAGCGGUGAAAUGCGCAGAUAUCAGGAGGAACACCAGCGGCGAAGGCGGUGCUCUGGGCCGGAACUGACGCUGAGGAGCGAAAGCGUGGGGAGCGAACAGG